RNAcentral lists this long non-coding RNA (314 nucleotides) under Lathyrus oleraceus (garden pea). Its description in RNAcentral is "Pisum sativum (pea) long non-coding RNA (PSAT_LNC011097)". Lineage: Eukaryota; Viridiplantae; Streptophyta; Magnoliopsida; Fabales; Fabaceae. The record is from RNAcentral.
AAAAAUUUAUGUUACUUUGAUUUAAUCUGGAUCAUCGAUUUAAAUUAAUCAAUGGUUCAUAUUUGCAAUCCUUAUCUUAUUUCAUUCAUUUAAUAAAAAAAUUAGAAAAAUCAAAUAAUAAUAAUAUUAAUAAUAAAGAAAAAUCUCUAUGAGAGAUAGGUGGCAUUGGAUUAUUGGCUCUCCUUUCUCAAAUAUAAAAAAUCUCAAGAAAAAGUUUCAAUUAAAAAAGUUCAUAAUUUCUCCUUUUCCUCGAUACACAUAACCAUCUCCCAUACACACCUUCCCACACCUGAUAACCAAUUGACAGUUAUAAC